UGGAUUAGUGGCGAACGGGUGAGUAACACGUGAGUAACCUGCCCUCCACUUUGGGAUAACUCCGAGAAAUCGGGGCUAAUACUGGAUAUGACCUUGGCCCGCAUGGGUUGUUGUGGAAAGUUUUUCGGUGGGGGAUGGGCUCGCGGCCUAUCAGUUUGUUGGUGAGGUAGUGGCUCACCAAGGCGAUGACGGGUAGCCGGCCUGAGAGGGCGACCGGCCACACUGGGACUGAGGCACGGCCCAG
RNAcentral lists this ribosomal RNA (244 nucleotides) under uncultured Actinomycetales bacterium. Its description in RNAcentral is "partial 16S ribosomal RNA". It matches the Rfam family "Bacterial small subunit ribosomal RNA", at positions 88 to 334 of the family's 1533-position model. The record is from RNAcentral. Lineage: Bacteria; Bacillati; Actinomycetota; Actinomycetes; Actinomycetales.